UACGAAGGGGGCUAGCGUUGCUCGGAAUCACUGGGCGUAAAGGGUGCGUAGGCGGGUUCUUAAGUCAGAGGUGAAAUCCUGGAGCUCAACUCCAGAACUGCCUUUGAUACUGAGAGUCUUGAGUUCGGGAGAGGUGAGUGGAACUGCGGGUGUAGAGGUGAAAUUCGUAGAUAUUCGCAAGAACACCAGUGGCGAAGGCGGCUCACUGGCCCGAUACUGACGCUGAGGCACGAAAGCGUGGGGAGCAAACAGG
This 253-nucleotide ribosomal RNA is filed under the name uncultured bacterium. RNAcentral describes it as "partial 16S ribosomal RNA". It matches the Rfam family "Bacterial small subunit ribosomal RNA", at positions 524 to 776 of the family's 1533-position model. The record is from RNAcentral.